Long non-coding RNA from Hemicordylus capensis (graceful crag lizard), 1766 nucleotides. RefSeq lists it as uncharacterized. Lineage: Eukaryota; Metazoa; Chordata; Lepidosauria; Squamata; Cordylidae. The transcript is spliced from 2 exons. The record is from RefSeq and is a predicted model, not a curated record.
UAGAACAUGCUCAACCACAAUGUUUGCAUGUGUUUUGAUCAUAGCACCCAUGAUGCAGAUUCUGAAAGUUUCAUUUACACACAUUCAAGUAUUAACAAAUAAAUUUAUAUGUCAAAGGGGGUGACAGAUUGGAGUAUAGGUUCUCAAUGGUCUGGAUUCUUCUGACCAGUCAUUGUUAGGGAGAGAAGGGGUGCAAGGUUGUGUGGGCGACUCCACAAUUGUACUUAAAAGAAGGUCUGUUAAAAGGUUAAAAGAAAAGAGGAAAUUAAGAUCGAACUAAGGAAAAAACAGGCGAGAAAGAGGGAGAGGAAGUUGAGAGACCCGGUCAGAGAAAAGAUAACCACAAGGUACUACCACAAGAAACAGGAAAAGGUAUUAUAAAUCUUAAGCUGCUAACUUUUGCUUUCUAACCAAACCAUUCUGACAAAAUGCUUAAUGUGUACUGACUGAAUUCAGAGAUGUCUCUUGCUUCUGCUCAUUGAAGACUGCCUAAAAUUCUGUUUGGGUGAGAAUAAAUACUGUUAGCUUUUAAAUCGUUGUCUGUGUGCUUUCAUGAAUCUUGGGGGAGCAAAACAAGCCAACCUUUAGCAAGGAACCUGGAUUGCUCUUUCGGGAGCCUUUGAGUUCCUCAUUCCUCAUUUGAUGAAGGGAGAGCUCGAGGGUAUCUCAGAUUUCUUACAAAGGGCACAAUGGUGCCUCCUCGUAACAAGAGGGUUUGUUGUUGGACUCUUGUUCCCUAUUGGCCUUUGUAAUUUCUCCACUGCGACCUAGGUUGCUUAUAUUGGUGCUGAGCUGCUUAUGCUGUUGCUGAACUGGAUUACCUAAUAAAAGUCAUUUGAAGUGUAUUAGACUGCAAUCAGGUGUCUGGAGUCUAUGUCUCUCUUCAAGAUAUCUGAGGUGGGGAGAUCCCGCCAUUCCCCAGCACUUCCCCUGUGAAAGUACAAGAAUGGGACAACUCACUACAGCCAAUUCACCGCUGGUCAAUUGGACAUGGCCAACUUGCUGCAGGGACAACUCGCUGCAGGGAACAACGCAAUUCAUGAGGCACGACCCCACAGAAGAACUGCCAAACAAAAACACCAACUAUAUGCUGUGGCUUCCUCUCUCCUCCCACAUUCUGGAGCCUUGUGGCCAGAGUUCCACAGAAUAAUGAUUAGAUAAACAUCAGCAUCUUCUCCUAUAUACUGUAUGGGAUGAUCAACAUGAAGUGAUCGCCAGCAGAAUGUGAGAACAACAGAGACCACUAAUCAAGAAGAACUAUAUAAGUCCUGGCAGACUUUUAGGAGACUUUGGAUACAACUCAAACACCAUCCUUCUCAGAGCUGCUGGAGCAGCAGAGCAUGCCUGCCUGGGACUUUAGCUCCUUCCUUAAGACUUGUAAUCUUGGUAUGAGCCAGAGCGGACCCAUUUUGUAAAAGCCUCUAUUUGUAAUUCCUUGCAGAGUGGAAAACUACUAGCUCAGGGUCUUGAGACAAGUCAGGAGGGUACUUGGAAGAUAUGUUGAUUUGUAACUGAGAGGUAAGGGAAGAUAAAGACAAGAUUGUAUAUGUAAAGUGUGAAGAUAAGGGAAGACAAAGACAAGAUCACAUAUGCAAAGUGUGAAGUAAGACUGCAUAUGUGGGGUUUUGCAGGCCUAAGGAGGGGAGCGGGCAUCAUGACAAUACAAAAUUUAGGAUAUAAAACUUCUGUGUAACAAAAGGGCUUUGCUCUUGAUUUUGGUGUGACCCCAAAAGCCUUAUUUCUGCAGAAAUAAACUUUGAAGCUUU